GAUGAAGAACGCAGCGAAAUGCGAUAAGUAGUGUGAAUUGCAGAAUUCCGUGAAUCAUCGAAUCUUUGAACGCACAUUGCGCCUUCUGGUAUUCCGGAAGGCAUGCCUGUUCGAGAGUCAUUAACAACCGUUUCGAUCCCCUUCUUUCAGAAAUUACAAAGAGGAAAAGGGUUUGGUUAUGGUGGAGGAGGGAAAGGGAGCGUUUAGCCUGUAAAAAAAGAGGCUGUGUUCCGCCUCCCCCCCAAAAUUGUACAGGCGGUCGUGUGCGCCCACGCAUCGAGGUGUUGUAAAAGCUGCCACGGCACUUUUCACCUGUGCAGUGCGAGAUUGGCCAGCCGGUUUAAAAACCCCUCCAAACAAUCAAAGGUUGACCUCGGAUCAGGUAGGGAUACCCGCUGAACUUAAGCAUAUCAAUAAGCGGAGGA
This 425-nucleotide unclassified non-coding RNA is filed under the name soil metagenome. Its description in RNAcentral is "partial contains 5.8S ribosomal RNA, internal transcribed spacer 2, and large subunit ribosomal RNA". The stretch from base 1 to 120 matches the Rfam family "5.8S ribosomal RNA", at positions 35 to 154 of the family's 154-position model. The record is from RNAcentral.